Molecule: long non-coding RNA, 3135 nt
Filed under: Mus musculus (house mouse)
Lineage: Eukaryota; Metazoa; Chordata; Mammalia; Rodentia; Muridae
Description: long non-coding RNA chr11:87618519-87621654
Source: RNAcentral
AAACGGCUAAAAAACGAAACAAAGACCAGAUGUCAAGGCUUAAGUUUAAAAGAAUUUUAGAACACACACGUUUAUAGUUUAUUGGCAUUUCACAAUUAUUCGGGAUCGGGGGAGGGGUAGGGGGGCUGUGUAAAUAUUCAGUGAAAAGUUAAGAGCCCUGUGGUCACAGUAUUUCAUGCACUUGAUUUGAAGUGCCUUUCUGCACUCUUAAACGGGUGAGGGUGGCGGUGUCCCCUUGCUCUAUAUGGAGGCCACAAUAGACAGCUGUACCAAGAAAGCAACAGGAUACAAUAAUCAGAAUUUGGAUUUUUUUUUUCACCUUCACAUAGAAGACUAGUAGAAACAAUUUUCAUACUUUGAAGCAUGGGAAAAAUGCAAAUGUACAAAUAACACUAUGGUCAGUUUCAUCUAGGCCCAGUACUGAAGCAAUGCUGCAUUUGGAAUUUGGAAGAUAAGGGCCUAGGUUUUCUGUCUGUGGAGUUUAGAAGAUAAGGAACUAGGUUAAAGUUCUAGUAACCUGCUGAGAAAAUAACUGGCCCAGGAAUGUUCUAAAGGAAUUCUAAAGGAAUAGUGAGCUACCUCAUGGCAUUGGUCCUUGAUUUGACUUGGGAAUUGUGUGGGAAAAGACCAUGAAGACAAUCCUACAGAAUAUGUUCAGCAGAAACUCUAGCUUGGGUUUUUUAUUUUGUUUCAUUUUUCAAGUCUUAUUUCUAGAAGGCAUAAGGAGAAAAGACAGGGAAAUAACAGUUCUCUUUAUUCUUUUCCUCUUAACUGUUUUAAACCAGUUGUAUUCUUUUUGUUCAUGUUUAAAAUUACAUAUAUUUACUUAUUUGUGUAUAUGUGUACACACGUGCUCUUAAGGUAUGGCAUGUGUGUGGAGGUCAAAGGACAACUUGUUAGGAGACUGUUCUCUUCUACUGGGAUCAAACUCAAGUCAUCCGGCUUGGUGGCAACUCCCUGUACCCAGUGAAUCUUUUUUUUUUUCCAGUUGUGUUCAUAAGGUCAGUGUCCAGAUUAUUUAAGCAGUUUAAAGGAUAUUUGUUGAUUAAAAAAAAAAAAUCACACCUUUUUAGUGUAUGUGGAGGAUGUGUGUUUUGAGGCAUCUCCUGUUCUCUCCCUGUUGUCCCGUCCAGCAGGGUGUUAGGAUAGCCUGUAGCAUAGACUUAGUGCAGAAGGCAAUUGUGUUUCUCAUUCGGGUGUAAAGUGAUUCUUCUGUUAAGUUCAGAAACACCGUUGCAAUUUGUUUGCUUUUAUGUUCUAAGGUCUUUGGCUCUUCUACUUUUCCUCACCUGUUGUUUUGGGGUUUUGUUUGUUUGUUUGUUUGCUUUCUGUGUUAGUUAAUUUUGGGGCACAAGGUCUUGCCAUGUAGUCAGGGUUGAUCCUGACUUCACGGUCUUUCUAACUCAGCCUCCCAAAGCUGGGAUUAUAGCCACAUGCUACCUUACCUGGCUUUUUUUUUAAUUCUACUUCAACUUGUCUCAGCUGUAUGAUUGCUGCUUUCCCACCUCCCUAAUUCCCAUUAAUUGUAGAAGAGUCUAUUUUAGGGCCUAGCCCUCUUUUAUUUAGAUCCACUAAAUCAAGAAUAUACUUGAUAAAAAGUGUGAACAUUCUUUUUUUUUUUUUCUUAGUUUGUUUAAAGUCUGGGAAGUAAAUACUCUUGUAUGGAUACCACAGGCUGUCCAUGAGCAAAAUUUGGGAUUGUUGAUGGAUGGUUAGUUUGGUUUCAUUUCCAUAAAAGGAACAGAAUUGUUAAAGACAAAAACUCACCAUGCCCUACAUUUCCAGAAUUCUAAAUUCAAACAUUGCCAAAUAUACCUUAAAGAUGUUCUGAAGAUGUGAAUGUGGUGGUUUAUAAAGUUGGUGAGAGAGCAAGUCCUAUUACCUAAUGCCUAAAAGAACAAAAGAGAACUAAUUAUGCCUUAGUUCUUUAAGAAACAAAUUAAUGAUCUUUGCUCACACACACACACCCACACACAGUUGUUUGGGCCUGUUUUUAUUAAUUCUUUGACUAUUUUAUACGAUGUAUUUUCAUCAUAUUCCUCCCUCACUCCUCCCUCUAACUCCUUCCAGAUCCACACCUACCAAUUUCAUGUCCUCUUUAAUAUAAAGUCGAGUCUAAUUUAUACUGCCCAUGUACUCAUGGGUGUGGGCCAUCCACCGGAGUAUGGUUGACCCAUUAGGGGCCACACCCUUAGAGAAAACUGACUUCUUUUCCCAGAAGUCAUCAACUGUGGACAGCUCCUCAGUGAGGAGUGGCCUCCUAAUCCUGACUGUAUUCUUUUAUUUUCAGCGUCUAAGAUAAGUAAUUACCCAUCACUGGGUUGAUCAAGGGAGAAGCAGAAUUUUUUUUUUUUUUAAUUCAGAUCUAAACUACAUUUUUGGAACCCAACUAGAGAUUUAACAGCCUAUCUGUGAAGAGUUCAGAAGAUUAAAAGAGCCAUGUGCAGCAUGCAGUUUUGACAUGGGAGACAUCCAAGGAGAAAUCACGUAGGGCACAGGGUGGUUGGGGUUCUUGGCAGCUCUUAUGAAAAGUACCAGUUUCUUCAGGCAAACCAGACUGUUGGUGGUGAGUUCAAGGCAUAUGAAUGUUAGAAACUGGAAGGCAAGCAACAUCAUAAAAGCUGUUCUUUGUGCUUCUGAUUUAGCAAUUUUCUUAUUAGAGUCCUUGAUUUCUCAGGCUCCAGAAUUUAUACUGUUAGUAUUCAUGCAUGUAUUUGUUUAUUCUUCGUGUUAAUGCUUUAUUUGCUAAGGAAAUUGAUUGCCAUAGAAAUAGAAUGGGAGACAUGUAAAGUGUUGAGUGAUUUAUAAUUUGAAUGGGUAGAGAUUUGAGUGACAUCUUUCAACAUGUAGCUUGGCACUGAAGUAACACGUAAAUUAAGUUUGCCUCUGUUUACUAAAGAUUAGCUUAAUAAAUAAAUUAAUAAGAUUAGUUUAAUAAAACAUGUUGAAAGGAAAUUGUGAACCAUACAUAUAACCAAUAGGUAAUAUUCUCCCUUUGAAUAAAUUAGUUUAGGUUUUUUUUUCUAUUUAAGAAUUGUAAUCUAUAAAGUAAAUUCAAGCUGUAAUAUUUAUAGCUACCAUUUUUUAAUUAUAUACCUUUGUCCUUUUUUUCCUCAUUUUUUUCUAUCUGGUUAG